ACGGCGAGGAUCGUGGACCAGUGCAGCAAUGGCGGCCUCGACCUCGACUUCGAGACGGUGUUUAAGAAGAUCGACACCGACGGCCGCGGCUACCAGAUGGGUCACCUCGACGUCGACUACCAGUUCGUAGGCUGCUGAGAUCCGGCGGCGCGACAUGAGGAGCGUAUCAGAUCGAUCGAGAGGUGUGGUGUUGUGGAAUAAGAAUAAGAUGCAGCUGGAGGAUGCAAACUCUUACAAAAACAGUACUAAAUAAAUGAAACUUCACCAUAAAUAAUGUAUGUUUUUUAAUACAUAAAAAUACAUAACAGAUUCUUCAACUCGAGCGGGAAUUUGGUUUAUCGCAAACUAUAAACUUUUGUACAGUUGUUAACACUAAUUAGGCCACACUAAUAAGAGCAUAUACAGCGUAGCGUUUCUAGCCGUUUGUAAGUCAGUGUAUCUUGAAAAAAGGAUCCUAACUACACUACUGCUGGCCGGCCCUUUGCCGAGUGCUUGGGACACUGGCCAAAGGAGUCUUGGCGGACAAAUAUUCGGCAAAGGCUCAUUUACCGAGUGUUGAAGGCGGACACUCGACAAACACUUUGUCGAGUGCUAGGGUGGCACUCGGCAAAGAAAAGCCAUCGCGACGGCCUUGGCCACGUUAACGGUCACCUUUGCCGAGUGUCGCCAUCCGGCUCUCGGCAAAGACUUUUUAAAUUUUCUUUUUCAUACAAAAUUUAUUUGUCGAGUGUCGCCAUUUGGCACUCGGAUUGGGAGAUCGGGCAAGAAAAUCCUAGUACCUCGAAGCACAGGAGAAGAAGAGGCUGAGUCCAAGCGAAAGAAGACCUCCCAGCGACCACCAACACCUCCCAUGCUUCCUCCUUGGCUUGGGAAAGCACUCCUCAAAGGGAUUUGAAAAUGGAUAGAGGAGGGAAGGAGAUCGGGGAAGGGCAAGCACCAACGGCAGCACCGGUUGUGGUGGAAAGGAAAACGGGGGGAGUAGGCACGUGGACUGAGAAAGAGAUAAGGUCAAAGAAGGGGCCCGAGGGUGACUUAUAUACCGCAGUCAAAAACAACUACCUGUAUUACCAGUUUGGGCAACCGGUACCAUCGGUGGCUGAGAAGCGCAGAUUGCGGUUUGGCAUGAAAAUGAACUACCGGUGGUAUCGGGGUUUUACCGGCACUACAGUUCAGGACCGGUACUACCGAUCAUAACCAUCGGUACUACUGGUGGUUCAAAUAUCAGCCAAAGAAAAAGUGUGCCUUUGUCAAGUGCCAAGGACCGACACUCGGCAAAGACUGAGCCUUUGCCGAGUGCUAACGUCCAACACUCGGCAAAAUAGUGAUCUUGGGUGCCGCCGUUAGCGGGAAGACCUUUAUCGGUAGGCCCUUUUUGUCGAGUGUUCGACAGUCGGCAAAUAUCUUCUUUUUGCCAAGUGCCUUCCUUUACCGAGGGUCAGACCCUCGGCAAACCCUUGUUUGCCGAGUGUCUCCUUUGCCACGAGCAGGAACUCGGCAAACUAGCUCUUUGCCGAGUUCCCGCCUUUUGGCACUCAACAAAGAGGCGAGCACUCGACAAAGCGUGUGUCUACCGUAGUGCUAGUAAGGGCAUGGUUGUCGAUCGCUCCACAACCUACCUUGCCCAUCGGAUGACCAAUACUGCCCACUCGACGCGGCCCAUAUGGCCUAAGGUAAUUGAGCAUGGAGAUUCCCCAAAACCCUAACCUAUGCAUCGCUAGCAUUAGCAACGCAUGCGUCCCUCUCUAACGAAAGCAACUGUCUCCCCUUCGUCUACUAGAUUUUCUAUUUGAUCUAUUUUUGAAUGAUGAUUUACAUUUUUUCUUAUUUUUAUGUGAAAUUAUUCAAAAUUUAUGUCGAUUAUGCCAACAUGGAUUAUGCUAUUUUUUGCUUAUUCUGAAUGCUGAAUUUCAUCUCAAGUUGUGGUAGUUUUUGCUUUACCUUAAUGUUGAAUUUGGAUAGGCAAAGAUUGAACCACAAAUAUAAUAUGUCCUUUUGAAUGAAUUACGUGAACCAUUAAUAUUCAAAUGACAUAGUCAACCUGCAGAAUUUCCUUAUAGAAAAUGAAGAUUGACACCCAUCUUUUAAGAAAAGCUCUUCUGAAAUAAGUUGUUCCAAACAUGGCCUGAAAUAGAAAGGUACACCAUUGAUUAGAAGAACUAAUUGAAGGAAUGGUUCAGAGUGAAAAGAUGUGAACCCCCCCCACCCUCACCCCCACCCACCCACAAACACACACACACACAAAAGGUGUGGCGUCUAAAAAUAUUCAGCUACUUAUUUCCCAUGUAUCAAUAUGUACGCUUUUGACCUUUGGUCCCAAGUCAUCGUUGAAUUAGUUUUCCUAAAAUCCCAAUCACAUGCUCAAAAUUUGGUAAUAAGGAGAAAGUUUCUCCAUAGUUAAGGGAAGGUUUCAUGCAUCAUUUACAAUAUCCCCUAGCUCAUUUGUCCAAGAUUGCUAAAAUACCUUAUAUUUCAAGACGAGGAAGAAACAUUUAUAAUGUAAAAUAAUAAGCACUAUUAGAUUAAUUAUAAGUUUAUUAUGAAUAUAUUUUUGUAAUAAACUGAUUUGGAGAUAUAAAUGUGAAGAUUAUUUACUUCAAGUAAUUUGGUCAAAUUUAAACUACUUUACAUAUACGAUUAACAUAGUUUGCAUUUUUUAUGGCCUUGUUUAGUUCACAUAAAACCAAAACAAAUUUCAAGAUUCCCCGUGACACAUAUAUAGAACAUUAAAUAUAGUUAAAAAGAUAACUAAUUGCACGGUUUGUCUGUAAUUUGCUAGACGAAUCUUUUGAGCCUAGUUAGUCUAUGGUUGGAUAAUAAUUACCAAAUACAAACGAAAAUGUUACAGUAUCCAAAAAAACUUUUCGUCUUCUCAACUAAGGCCUCACGAUUUAGAAGCAAAUUGUAUAAUUAGUUUUUAUUUUUAACUAUAUUUAAUGCUUCAUAUAUAUACUGUAAGAUUUAAUAUGAUAGGAAAUCUUAAAAAGUUUUUGAUGAACUAAACCAGGCCUAAACAACGCCGUCAGUGUGGACUUCGGAUGAAAAAAAACGAGACGUGUGUCAAGAAGCAUGCAUGUCGCAGAAUUUUCAACAAGAGACUGCAAAAGUCCGGUCAAGGCUUGCGUGCUAGCUGGUUGGGGCCUGGCUGUGGCUAAUGCACAUGCAUGCGGCUAGCUGAUUCAAGCAAAAACCACCAGAGUCCAGACUCCAGAGGUAAAGGUAGUCUUGUGGAGUGCCCCGACGACGACGACGAUACUGCAAGUGGAAGACUCUCCGGUCGACAUCUAAAGCACCACGAUGCUGGAAUUCCACAGCAGGCCACGUAUACUUUGUGAGUCUCAAAAUAACUGUUACUCACGCUUUCUAAGGAACAAUUUUGGCAAAAUAUAUAUUAAAAAAUAUUAAUAUUUAUUAUACAUAGUUAGUAUUAUUGGAAAGAUGUUUAAAUUUAAUUUUUUAAUAAAUUUAUUUAGAGAUAUAAAUAUUAAAUAUAUUUUCUAUAAAUUGAGUUAAAUCGAAAACGAUAGUUAAUAUGAGGCGGGGGAUAAAUACUAGUAUAUGGCCGCUGACGUACGCCAUCGUCGCAGCGAUGGAUGCAGAUCUUGACGGGUGUAGUACGUCGCUGUGCCUCGCUUCGUCAGAGUGGUGGUCGCCGUGGAUCCACCGAGCCGCCGCGCGCAUAGCUAGCGAGGUCGCACGUCAGCGUACGUUCCACCAGGGCGUGCACGUACUACAGCCAUCCACAUGGAUAAAGCUAGGACGUACGGGUGGGAGACCUGUGGUUUCACCAAACACCAUCUCCAACGACUCGGUAAAAUUCACUUGUCAAAUCUUGAGUUAUAGCAAGUUGCUAAUUUGUUUAGCAAAAGAAAAAAAAAGAUGUGUUUCUAAUAAGUUGCUAUUCUCACUUGGUAAAAAUAGAGGAUGACAGAUGGGACCCGCUCACUUGGUAAAAGAAUAUGUGUCUCCAACAAGUUGCGCUCGGGAUAGCAACUUGACAAAUCUCGGCAGUAGAAACCUCUGGAUAGCAACUUGGGAAAUUUAGCAAGUUGAGAUAAAGAGUUGUUGGAGGAGGAUUUUUAUGUUUUUAGCAAAUUUGGUAGGAUAGCAUGUUGAAAUACUAAGUUGUUGGAGAUACUCUGCCUCUGUUUGUAAAAAGGUACUCCCUCAAUUUUACACACGAAUAAGGAUAAAUAUUGGCAAUAUAAAUUACGAAUAAAUUUUAAGUUAUUGGGUUUAGAAAUAUAAAAAAUAUAUAAAUAGAUUUAUCUUGAAAACUAUUUUUAUAAAAAUAUACAUAUAUCUCUUUUUAAUAAAUAUUUUUAUAAAAAUAAGAACCAUAUUAUUGUCUUAAAUAACUUUUUUUACGGGUACAAGAUUAUCUAGAAUUCGUGGAAGCAGUCAGCAGUUAGUCGAGAGCUUUUUAUUAAAAAAAAGGAUUAAAUGCUGAAUUGUGUGUGCUACUGUACACAGAUGGUUUGCAUUGCAUGUGAUGCGUCCCUACCUGCUACCUUGUACAGUCGUAAGCAUGCAUGAGCCUAGUGUCUUCUGUCCUUGGAGAAAAUUCCACAUUGUCCGGCGCACCCAGAUCGAGAGACCUCCUCUAUAUAAUGCAAGCUUGUGAUCUCCAUCGAGGUAUAACAAGACACACCUCACACUACAUUCGUCACUUGGCUCUGCAUCGUUACUUUGGGAUUAGCCACUGGGGAAAUUAAUUAAAGGAGUACUCUAUUAGGGUAAGCAAAGCAACUCGAAGCUUCUCACGCGGUGGUUAUAUCAUACGUACCUGCAUGAGAAAAGCUUGGUGCCAGUAAGAUAUAAUAUAUCGAUCGAUCCGAUCGAACUCCCACUCGCUGAAUUCCUGAUUCAUAUCUCUCCACCAUGCAUAUGCAUGCAUGCAGGCAAGAAGAAGAAGAGGGCAACGAUGGCGGCGGCGAUGAUCUCCGGAGGACGGGCGGCGGCGCUGGUGCUGGCCGCGGUCGUGCUGUGCUCGGUGGCGGCCAUGGCGGCGGCGCAGCAGGCGUCGAACGUGCGGGCGACGUACCACUACUACAACCCGCAGCAGAACAACUGGAACCUCAACGCCGUCAGCGCCUACUGCUCCACCUGGGACGCCGGCAAGCCGCUGGCGUGGCGGCAGAAGUACGGCUGGACGGCCUUCUGCGGGCCCGCGGGGCAGAAGGGGCAGGCCGCCUGCGGCAAGUGCAUCCGGGUGACGAACCGCGCGACGGGGGCGGCCAUCACGGCGAGGAUCGUGGACCAGUGCAGCAAUGGCGGCCUCGACCUGGACUACGAGACGGUGUUCAAGAAGAUCGACACCAACGGGCAGGGAUACCAGAUGGGACACCUCAACGUCAACUACCAGUUCGUCGCCUGCUGAUUGAUGAUCACUUUCAUCACCCACUCCAUCAUCAAGUACUACAGUACACAUGUAAUAACAAGCCAUGAUAUAUAUGAUGCAUGCAUGGCGUGAUCGAUGAAUAAAACCGAUGGGAUAGAUAGCUCUGC
Molecule: long non-coding RNA, 5505 nt
Filed under: Sorghum bicolor (sorghum)
Lineage: Eukaryota; Viridiplantae; Streptophyta; Magnoliopsida; Poales; Poaceae
Description: long non-coding RNA (SBIC_LNC009493)
Source: RNAcentral